This 515-nucleotide ribosomal RNA is filed under the name uncultured bacterium. Its description in RNAcentral is "bacterial SSU rRNA". It matches the Rfam family "Bacterial small subunit ribosomal RNA", at positions 501 to 1014 of the family's 1533-position model. The record is from RNAcentral.
CUACGUGCCAGCAGCCGCGGUAAUACGUAGGUCCCGAGCGUUGUCCGGAUUUAUUGGGCGUAAAGAGAGCGCAGGCGGUUUGAUAAGUCUGAAGUUAGAGGCUGUGGCUCAACCAUAGUUCGCUUUGGAAACUGUCAAACUUGAGUGCAGAAGGGGAGAGUGGAAUUCCAUGUGUAGCGGUGAAAUGCGUAGGUAUAUGGAGGAACACCGGUGGCGAAAGCGGCUCUCUGGUCUGUAACUGACGCUGAGGCUCGAAAGCGUGGGGAGCGAACAGGAUUAGAUACCCUGGUAGUCCACGCCGUAAACGAUGAGUGCUAGGUGUUGGAUCCUUUCCGGGAUUCAGUGCCGCAGCUAACGCAUUAAGCACUCCGCCUGGGGAGUACGACCGCAAGGUUGAAACUCAAAGGAAUUGACGGGGGCCCGCACAAGCGGUGGAGCAUGUGGUUUAAUUCGAAGCAACGCGAAGAACCUUACCAGGUCUUGACAUCCCGAUGCUAUUUCUAGAGAUAGAAAGU